RNAcentral lists this ribosomal RNA (460 nucleotides) under uncultured bacterium. Its description in RNAcentral is "partial 16S ribosomal RNA". It matches the Rfam family "Bacterial small subunit ribosomal RNA", at positions 338 to 795 of the family's 1533-position model. The record is from RNAcentral.
CCUACGGGUGGCAGCAGUGAGGAAUAUUGGUCAAUGGACGAGAGUCUGAACCAGCCAAGUAGCGUGAAGGAUGACUGCCCUAUGGGUUGUAAACUUCUUUUAUAUGGGAAUAAAAUGUUCCACGUGUGGGAUUUUGUAUGUACCAUAUGAAUAAGGAUCGGCUAACUCCGUGCCAGCAGCCGCGGUAAUACGGAGGAUCCGAGCGUUAUCCGGAUUUAUUUGGUUUAAAGGGAGCGUAGAUGGGUUGUUAAGUCAGUUGUGAAAGUUUGCGGCUCAACCAUAAAAUUGCAAUUGAUACUGGCAGCAUUGAGUACAGUUGAGGUAGGCGGAAUUCGUGGUGUAGCGGUGAAAUGCUUAGAUAUCACGAAGAACUCCGAUUGCGAAGGCAGCCUACUAAACUGCCACUGACAUUGAUGCUCGAAAGUGUGGGUAUCAAACAGGAUUAGAUACCCGAGUAGUC